This 1537-nucleotide ribosomal RNA is filed under the name Triticum aestivum (bread wheat). RNAcentral's name for it is "partial small subunit ribosomal RNA". The record is from RNAcentral. Lineage: Eukaryota; Viridiplantae; Streptophyta; Magnoliopsida; Poales; Poaceae.
AAGAGUAGAGUCCAGAGCAGAAGGUGGAGACGGAUCCGAGAGUUAGAACUAUAGAGAUCGAGCACGUCGAGACUUGAACAAAACAACCAACAGUAGAUUGGUAGCAAGCUAGACGGUGGACCACGUACCUACCUACGGACCCACGUACCGCUAAUGCGGUUGUGUGUGUGCCACUACUACCAAUCUACUGGUAGUCGUUUGUACAAGUACUCUGUACGCAUGACUCGAGCAGUACAAACUACCAACUACGCACGGCUGUACCUAAUGUACUACUGCGCCCACGUCCAGUCCAAAGUACGUAGAAUAAGAGUCGGCGCGCGAACAGGCACUCCCAUUUGUACUACAUAAGAAGUAGUAAAGGAGUAACACCUUACCUGGUCCAUCCACUUAAGUAUAUACAAACUAAGCCAAACACAGCAACACACGUUGCUUGCGUCCUUAUAAAUAUACUAACUCAAGGAGUGAACGGCUUUGUAGUUUUAAGGCCCCCAGCGCUACUCAAGGUGGAUGUUUAAUAACCGUGUUCUCUUAGAGUCCAAAAAAAGUUAGUGGUAACCCCCUCUCCUAAGAUAGUCCCAACACGACCUCGUGUUCCUCUCCAUAACGAUGGUUCUGUACCGCUGUUGGAAAUCUCAUCCAAGGAACUUAAGUAUAUCCGGGUUUCUAGUUUAAGGGGUUGUUCCAAACUCUAUCAAUGUUUCCUCCGCGCACUCCGUAGUGCCUCGUGGAAACGCAAGUACCUUACAGUUUUUAACGUUACCUAACUAUCCCAUUAACUAUGGGUAUACGGCAACAGUGCCGGUAAAUCCAAACCCCACAGGUUUUAAACGGUCUGCCUCAACCUGGAGCACUACGGUUUCAGUUAGGCCUGUUCUAUCCAUCGGUCCGCAACGUUGCUUCCGUUCGAAAGAAUCGUACUACACGAACACUUUUUCCAAACGGAUCCUCAACUCGUUCAGUACCUUCUCGUUAGAGCCACUGUGAUAUAACUUUACUUACAAAGUCUAAGCCGCUGAAACAUCCCUUAAAAACAUUUUUUUUUUUUGGUGGACACGUUAACUUAACAGUCUUUUCUGGGAGAGACUCUGCUAAACUGUUUUUCCUGGGGGAGCUGGCACCGCCGUCCGCGUCGCUGUGUACCGUGGACGGCGGUGCCGCAGUCCGCCGUCCGACGCGCCUUGCCUUUAGUCGACCGCGCUGUCUUGCCUGAUCGCGAUACCUGGGGACGGCGGACUCGCCGACCGCCGUCCUGACAUCGUCGGCCCGGGCCGGCGGAGUCCCCGACCGCCGUCCGGACGAGUAGCCGCAGCAAAGACCGUGACACAAGUAGCCGAACCGGACAUAAGGAACGAAUCAAUGAUCAUGAGGUCAUCAAUUGUGCUCGUCUCCGGAGUUAGUACGUACGUACGGGUACGCUGUAGGUGGAGAAAUUUGUUUCGUUUCAUGACGGCAUGUACGCGCUGCGUCCCGUUCACCCAUGUCUAGCCUAGGAUAGCCUUAAAAACAGUUUCUCUGGUGGACGAUGUCGCACGGCGGU